This 231-nucleotide long non-coding RNA is filed under the name Populus tremula. RNAcentral describes it as "long non-coding RNA (PTRE_LNC003362)". The record is from RNAcentral. Lineage: Eukaryota; Viridiplantae; Streptophyta; Magnoliopsida; Malpighiales; Salicaceae.
AGGUCUUGAUGGUGGUCAAUGGAGAUGAAGAAGAAGAAGGUGCACAUGUUAACCCAAUUACAUGUGCCAAACUGCGGGCCACGAUAGGAGCCCUAGUUUAGACCGUCGCAUAACGACAAGCGGAGACACCUUAGAGAAGGUGUGAGGGCCAUGAAAGGAGCCCAUUUCAGAACGCUCUAGAAAGCGUGUGCUGAAGAAGCAAGAUGACAAUUGCCCACAUAAAUGGCAAAG